RNAcentral lists this ribosomal RNA (490 nucleotides) under uncultured bacterium. RNAcentral describes it as "bacterial SSU rRNA". It matches the Rfam family "Bacterial small subunit ribosomal RNA", at positions 501 to 990 of the family's 1533-position model. The record is from RNAcentral.
CUACGUGCCAGCAGCCGCGGUAAUACGUAUGUCACAAGCGUUAUCCGGAUUUAUUGGGCGUAAAGCGCGUCUAGGUGGUUAUGUAAGUCUGAUGUGAAAAUGCAGGGCUCAACUCUGUAUUGCGUUGGAAACUGCAUGACUAGAGUACUGGAGAGGUAAGCGGAACUACAAGUGUAGAGGUGAAAUUCGUAGAUAUUUGUAGGAAUGCCGAUGGGGAAGCCAGCUUACUGGACAGAUACUGACGCUAAAGCGCGAAAGCGUGGGUAGCAAACAGGAUUAGAUACCCUGGUAGUCCACGCCGUAAACGAUGAGUGCUAGGUGUUAGACCCUUUCCGGGGUUUAGUGCCGUAGCUAACGCAUUAAGCACUCCGCCUGGGGAGUACGACCGCAAGGUUGAAACUCAAAGGAAUUGACGGGGGCCCGCACAAGCGGUGGAGCAUGUGGUUUAAUUCGAAGCAACGCGAAGAACCUUACCAGGUCUUGACAUCCC